GACGAACGCUGGCGGCGUGCUUAACACAUGCAAGUCGAACGGGCCUGUCUUCUUUUUUGGGGGUGGGUGGGGGGGGGAAGGGGGGGGUAUACGGGGAGAAACCUGCCUUUCGGUCCGGGAAAACCGCUGGAAAGGGGGGCAAAACGGGGGUGGUCCGGUGGGUCCGCAGGGGCGGGUCGGGUUGGUUUCACUGUUUUUGGUGUUUCGGCGGGGGAGGGGCUCGCGGCCUAUCAGCUGGUUGGGGGGGUGAUGGCCUACCAGGGCGGUGACGGGUAGCCGGCCUGAGAGGGUGGGCGGCCACACUGGGACUGAGAUACGGCCCAGACUCCUGCGGGAGGCAGCAGUGGGGGGUAUUGCACAAUGGGCGGAAGCCUGAUGCAGCGACGUCGCGUGAGGGAUGGAGGCCUUCGGGUUGUGAACCUCUGUUUCCGGUGGUGAAGGCCCUGUCCGUGUGGUGGGGUUGACGGUAGCCGGGGAUGAAGCGCCGGCUAACUACGUG
RNAcentral lists this ribosomal RNA (499 nucleotides) under uncultured bacterium. Its description in RNAcentral is "partial 16S ribosomal RNA". It matches the Rfam family "Bacterial small subunit ribosomal RNA", at positions 28 to 507 of the family's 1533-position model. The record is from RNAcentral.